Arabidopsis lyrata subsp. lyrata is the source of this 874-nucleotide long non-coding RNA. RefSeq lists it as uncharacterized. The record is from RefSeq and is a predicted model, not a curated record. The transcript has 2 exons. NCBI's taxonomy places the organism in Eukaryota, Viridiplantae, Streptophyta, Magnoliopsida, Brassicales, Brassicaceae.
AUUUACGUUUUUUUUCAGAUAUUUAAAGGAAUUAUUGCAUAUUUAGGCACUUUCCUCAACUUAUUUGUGUCUUUAGACACUUUUAAAGUGCAAGGCACUUUCGUCUUGUUGAAUUCUCUAUUAUGCCCCUAACUACAACUCUCUCUCGACUCUCGUUACGAUUCACUCAGUCAAUCACUUCUCUUUUUGUCUCUUAAAUUAUCUCAGAGAAAAAUCCAAUAAGACAAAAAAAAAAAAAUCACGGACAAAAAAUUAACAUGAAUUUUCAAAAAGAAAAUGUUUUCUCUCUUCUCUCUCUAAAUCUAUCUUCUGUUCCUAUAAUUUCGUUCGUGAAAUUGUAUUUGUAUGGGAUGAAUUCAUCCACACAAAAAAAAAACACAUAACAUUCUCGAUUUCUCCGGUUUAAUUUUCAUCUUCUCCCGUUUAAUUUUCAUGUAAUUUCUGGUGUUUUUGUGUUGGUGGGUACUCUUAUCUUUACGAGCCUCUUUGGUGGUCUUAAUAAGUUGCUAUUGGGGACAAAGAAGCUGAGGCUUUGCAAAAGUCUAAGAUCUCUUUAAGUGAUCUUAUCAGUAUUGACUCCACCAAAAUUGAUAACAAGAAAGAGAAGCCAACAAGUGGUUUUGAUAAAUCCAUCAAAAAGAGAGGCGAUGAUAAGCAUUCCUCCAGAUCCAACAAGAAGAGAAGAGCUUGAUGUGGAGUUCAUGUCAACAAUUGUUUUUUGUAACAGUGACCAGAAAUUUUUGAUCAUUGGUCUUUUUAUGAAUUUUUGUAACCAGGUUGAAUAAUUUAUUAAAAUCUGGGUUUGUUCAUCACAAAUGAAGACGACCAUGUAUAAAUUUGUGUAUUGAUAUAAAACGACCAUGUUAGUUACCUA